UGAUGAAAAGCCACUGCUGCGCCGCGCGCCAAUUGCGGGUGCGCGUAUUUGAUCGUAUAGUUACAGGGUUGACGUAACACAGUGUGCUUUGCGGCUACCACCCGCAACAGUAGCUGAAAAAACCUCGCCUCCGGCGGGGUUUUUU
Non-coding RNA from Cronobacter sakazakii ATCC BAA-894, 145 nucleotides. It matches the Rfam family "istR Hfq binding RNA". Lineage: Bacteria; Pseudomonadati; Pseudomonadota; Gammaproteobacteria; Enterobacterales; Enterobacteriaceae. The record is from Rfam.